Molecule: ribosomal RNA, 483 nt
Filed under: uncultured bacterium
Lineage: Bacteria
Description: partial 16S ribosomal RNA
Rfam family: Bacterial small subunit ribosomal RNA
Source: RNAcentral
AUUGAACGCUGGCGGCAGGCCUAACACAUGCAAGUCGAGCGGAUGAAGGGAGCUUGCUCCUGGAUUCAGCGGCGGACGGGUGAGUAAUGCCUAGGAAUCUGCCUGGUAGUGGGGGAUAACGUCCGGAAACGGGCGCUAAUACCGCAUACGUCCUGAGGGAGAAAGUGGGGGAUCUUCGGACCUCACGCUAUCAGAUGAGCCUAGGUCGGAUUAGCUAGUUGGUGGGGUAAAGGCCUACCAAGGCGACGAUCCGUAACUGGUCUGAGAGGAUGAUCAGUCACACUGGAACUGAGGCACGGUCCAGACUCCUACGGGAGGCAGAAGUGGGGAAUAUUGGACAAUGGGCGAAAGCCUGAUCCAGCCAUGCCGCGUGUGUGAAGAAGGUCUUCGGAUUGUAAAGCACUUUAAGUUGGGAGGAAGGGCAGUAAGUUAAUACCUUGCUGUUUUGACGUUACCAACAGAAUAAGCACCGGCUAACUUCGU